GCUCUUUCCCAUCUUGCAAGAUGGCAGGUGAAAAAGUUGAGAAGCCAGAUACUAAAGAGAAGAAACCCGAAGCCAAGAAGGUUGAUGCUGGUGGCAAGGUGAAAAAGGGUAACCUCAAAGCUAAAAAGCCCAAGAAGGGGAAGCCCCAUUGCAGCCGCAACCCUGUCCUUGUCAGAGGAAUUGGCAGGUAUUCCCGAUCUGCCAUGUAUUCCAGAAAGGCCAUGUAGAAGAGGAAGUACUCAGCCGCUAAAUCCAAGGUUGAAAAGAAAA
This is a long non-coding RNA of Homo sapiens (human), 270 nucleotides long. Lineage: Eukaryota; Metazoa; Chordata; Mammalia; Primates; Hominidae. The record is from Ensembl.